RNAcentral lists this unclassified non-coding RNA (303 nucleotides) under Hevea brasiliensis (rubber tree). Lineage: Eukaryota; Viridiplantae; Streptophyta; Magnoliopsida; Malpighiales; Euphorbiaceae. The record is from RNAcentral.
UGCCAAUAUAUACUUUUCCAGCUGCUGUAAAUCCUCAAAACAGUAUUCCCUCGAUGGAUCAAUCACCCGACCAUUUCUAAGAAAUGCUAAAGUAUUAUCCACAAUAUUUGACACAGUGUCUUUACACCCAUAACAAAGACCAGACCUCAAAACAGCCUUUGUAGCAACAUCUUCAGUAUAACCACAAGCAACAAUCUUUUUAAUGGCACUCUUGAAGAUUGCAUCCAAAUUGCUUAACACAAGUUCUUCUAGCUGGGAUUCUGUAAGAUCACUCCAAUCAGCUUCAUGGGAUUCUUCUGAUUC